Molecule: ribosomal RNA, 253 nt
Filed under: uncultured bacterium
Lineage: Bacteria
Description: partial 16S ribosomal RNA
Rfam family: Bacterial small subunit ribosomal RNA
Source: RNAcentral
GACGUAGGAUGCGAGCGUUAUUCGGAUUUAUUGGGCGUAAAGCGUGCGUAGGCGGCUAUUUAAGUCUGGUGUUAAAGCUAGGGGCUCAACCCCUGUGAUGCACUGGAUACUGGGUAGCUUGAGUGCGGUAGGGGAAGGUGGAAUUCCGAGUGUAGCGGUGAAAUGCGUAGAUAUCUGGAGGAACACCGGUGGCGAAGGCGGCAUCCUGGACCGACACUGACGCUGAGGCGCGAAAGCUAGGGUAGCAAACGGG